RNAcentral lists this long non-coding RNA (552 nucleotides) under Lynx canadensis (Canada lynx). Its description in RNAcentral is "lncRNA (ENSLCNG00005022540.1)". Lineage: Eukaryota; Metazoa; Chordata; Mammalia; Carnivora; Felidae. The record is from RNAcentral.
ACAGGCAGGCGGGAAGGUCGGGGCUGAUGUGGCAUCUUUUCCCCUUGCUGAGUGCAGAGCGAGGCCAGCCCUGUGAGACAAAGCAGCUUAUCUAAGGCCACCGGGUGUCGGGCUUGCAAGGAGCUGUCUCUGGGCUCUCACGAGGACCUCCCGGCGCAUGCCAGCCCCUCAUGCUUGCACUGCACUCGAUAUUUCAAAGCACUGUGUCAUCUGAAGCUAACUUCGAGGGGCUGUGGCAGCAGGGGCACUAACCUCAUUUCCCUGGUGGGCGAAACUGAGGCCCAACACCGUGACCAUAAUUCUCUGCUAAGCCCUGUAUCCUGGCCCUGUUCAUCAGCCCGGUCUGAUGAGGAAGGCCCCACUGAAGAGCCACACUCUGGUGAGGACCCCUCAAGACUUAGCAGCUAUUCCUUAAUUCCUGUAUUCAUUUCACAAAAUGUUUCAGGUGCCUGCCCUGUGACCCAGUGGGAUGCAGCAGUGAGCAGUUUCUACAGCUUCCCCCGCGCUGGCCCAUCUCAGUGCAGAAACGGGGUCAUUGCUGUCACAAGUUAG